UCCGCAGCCCCGCGCCGACGGGCACAGUCGAGCGCCCGCUCCGCUCCCCGCCGCCGCCGCCACCAUGUCCCUGUGCAGGGCCGCCUCGCAGGCGCUGGCGUUCCGCCUGAGCAGGGCUCCCGCCGCCGCCGGCCGCCUCAAGCAGCGCGCACCUCUUCGCCAGAUGUCAUCUGGGAGCGUUCCUGGCUCUUCUGGAGAGAGUAUGAUUAUCUAUCUACUUGCUGGUGUUGCGGCUUUCAGUGGUUUAUUUUAUGCCUACAGAGUAGUCAGUUCAUCCCGCAGCAGGUUUAUUGACCAUGUGAAUGUUCUUCAUGAGAGAGCUGAGGGGCGGAAAGGCAACCCUUGGUCAAGGAAGGUUUCUGAGGAGGAGAAGACACCUGAAGAAUCUGCUAAAGACCCCUAAAGUAAGCAGUGCUGAAGCCUUUGAAAAGUUUAACGGAAAUAUUUGUGGCAAUCAACCAGCUGAUUCCUGUGUGAAACCUCAUACUCUUCCUUGGAGACAUAAAAGAAACUGUGCAGUUUGUCAUGCCACACACUGCUCAUUAGGACCAGUAUUCAGUGCUGCAACAGAUAAGAUUUAAGUUGCUUAGAGAGACGCUUCUGUGAUUAACAUCUCUGCUGUAGAAAGUAGCACCCAGUCAAAGCACCACUCAGCAUGUCCUAAAUACAUGUGCUAAGAGAAGCAGUAGACUUAACUAAACCAUGCCAGGUGAACUCCUUCUAGGUCUUUGUUGUCUCGUUAUGUACACUGAUUUCUUACUCUUGGUCCAAACUGCUGUGCGUAGUUAUACCUUUGUAACAUUCCAUGCUAAAAUCUAAGUAAAGGGGUUUAAAUCAAGUCAAAAUCUUUUAAAAAUUACGUGUUAGCAUUUUUAAAUUGGAUCACGGGGAAAACAGCAACCUGUUUGCUCUCAAGUUUGGAUUUAAGAUUGUAAGCAUAGGACAUCUGGCUGUACAAUAUCUAAUUUUCCCCCCACAUAAACAUUUCAGAUACUACCCUUCCUUGCACAAAAUAAUAUCCAGGACUAAACAUUUUUAAGGCUCCUUCUUUGGGAAGAAAACCUGUUUGCAAGUGCUACCAAUAGGUACUUUAUAGCAUGACAAUCAAAAUAACGCCAGUUGAUGUUACUGAUCAUGGAUCGAAGUGGUGGCUCCUGCCUCGGGGAUGCUGGGCUCUGCUCCUACCAAAUCUCAAAAUCCCAAUGGAAGGCUAUGCAACAGGUGUUCAAAUGGACAAGGAUUCUUAGGGACUAAGAAAGAACAGAAUAGAUAAAUAAUCUUGUGUUCUUAGUAUUAACUUCAUAAAGAAUACACCUAUUAUGAAUAAUGGAUUUGUAUGACACUGUUCUCCUAACCCUCCAUUGUGCUAAGUGCAUGAGUGUGCAUCUAAGACAAAAUGCUGAGACCUGUUACAGCCACCACAGAAUGGCAACAAUUCUAAACCAGAGCCAAAAAAGGUAUAUUAUAUACUAUUUAUAUAGAAAGUGUGCUUUAUAAGGUGUAUCUGACUCUUUUCUCUCCAAGCAGAACUCUGGAAAAUGUUGAAAGGGAAAUGACAGCAUUAUGACAUUCCUACCUAUGGCACAAAGCAACACAUGCCGCUUCCCCCAUCAUAAAGCAAAUUAUAAUAGUGUUCCAACAAAAAUAUAGCCCGUUGCCCCUGGACCUGCUUAGGAAUAACUGGAAUAAUGCGGAGGCAAAAGCAGGCUCCUGAGCUUCGAGAAGAAAUACCACGGCCUUCUGCUUAAAGGAUAAAGCCACUGUGAUUAAAAGCAAUUUUUGUAGACAAAGCUACUGGAAUAAAAGUCUUAGACUGAUAUUUUGUUGGAUAAGA
This is a long non-coding RNA of Lepidothrix coronata (blue-crowned manakin), 1834 nucleotides long. Ensembl annotates it as mitochondria localized glutamic acid rich protein. Lineage: Eukaryota; Metazoa; Chordata; Aves; Passeriformes; Pipridae. The record is from Ensembl.